Eublepharis macularius is the source of this 1228-nucleotide RNA transcript. It is a transcript of the gene named Rac family small GTPase 2, with no coding region annotated. The transcript has 8 exons. Lineage: Eukaryota; Metazoa; Chordata; Lepidosauria; Squamata; Eublepharidae. The record is from RefSeq and is a predicted model, not a curated record.
CAUAACUGUACCGCACUUUCCACCAUCCGCUUUCGUGAGCCGUCAUUUUUUCCCCCCAAGACUUGCUGGACCCCCUCUGCCCCGCCAGGCCGCAGACAUGCAAGCCAUCAAAUGUGUGGUGGUGGGAGAUGGAGCUGUGGGUAAAACCUGCCUCCUAAUCAGCUAUACCACCAAUGCCUUCCCAGGAGAAUACAUCCCCACUGUAUUUGAUAAUUACUCCGCCAAUGUGAUGGUUGACAGCAAACCUGUAAAUCUUGGGUUAUGGGAUACAGCUGGCCAGGAGGAUUAUGACCGCUUGAGGCCACUCUCCUAUCCUCAGACGGACGUCUUCCUCAUCUGCUUCUCUCUUGUCAGCCCUGCAUCUUACGAAAAUGUUCGUGCCAAGUGGUUUCCGGAAGUACGACAUCACUGUCCUAGCACCCCCAUGAUCCUUGUGGGCACUAAACUAGAUCUCCGAGAUGACAAGGACACCAUAGAGAAGCUCAAGGAGAAGAAGUUGGCGCCCAUUACUUACCCACAAGGCCUUGCGCUGGCCAAAGAGAUUGAUGCAGUGAAAUACCUUGAAUGCUCAGCACUGACACAGCGCGGCCUGAAAACGGUCUUUGACGAGGCAAUACGGGCAGUUCUUUGUCCACAACCCACAAAGACAAAGAAAAGGGGAUGCAGGAUCCUCUAAGGACAAGAGCAAAGAUCCCAAGUGGUUAAAGGAAAAACAUAAGGCAAUUAAAGACAGAUUUCAAACUCUUCCCUCUUGCCUCCUGGAUGGAACUUUCUCUGGGCUUUGCUGGUGAGACACGCUGAAGGUUUUGUUGCUGUUCUCCUGUACCUUUGAAAGCCGAACUAGACAAGAUGCUGGAAGAUUGAGAGUCGAAGCUUCCUGCAUCAGAGGCAACGAAGUCUAUAUCUGGCAAAGGGAGCUUUGACUCUCAAAAUCUUGUACCCCGAACAGGUUGUCUAUAUGUUUCCCUCAACAGAUCAAACAGUGGAUCUGAGGGGCAGUUUGAGGUCAGGAAAGUGGCUGGUGGAACAUGUGGACCCUGUCUGAAUUGGGGACCUCCCCCUCCCCCAAAUGCUAUUUACCAAUUUUAAAAAAAUCCCUUUUGGAGACCCAUUCAUUGAUUUCCUGCUGUCUCAUCUAGUUGACCUCUCAGCACGUUGUUCUUUGAAAUCUCUCUGUCCUGGAUCAUAAUUAAUAUAUAGCACAUAAGGUUCAAUAAAUGCACUCUGU